Piliocolobus tephrosceles (Ugandan red Colobus) is the source of this 1575-nucleotide long non-coding RNA. The record is from Ensembl. NCBI's taxonomy places the organism in Eukaryota, Metazoa, Chordata, Mammalia, Primates, Cercopithecidae.
GACAGACGUGAAUAAGUACGAACAUACGGCCGAAAGCAUACCCAACCAAAAAGUGCACUCAGCAAAAGAGUUUAAAAAAUGUUUACAGAAUAAUGAUAAGUGUUAUGAUUCUGAUCACGACGAAUUAAGUAAUAAUUAUCGUAAAAAUUUAAGAGUUGCUGAUCGUCAGGAAUUUUCAGAUUAUGAAAAAAAAUUUCAAAGGGUUAAUCAAAAUAUAACACACAAUGGACAGCUAGCCAAAACAAAUAACAAUGUAACUACUUUUUCGAAAAAAAACUUCGAACAAAACAUUGACAUAAAUAAUAAUUCAAGUACUUUUGAAGAAAAACAACAAAACAUACAGAACGAAUUAACCAUCAUUGACUAUACAGACAACUGUUUUGACAAUUUACUAAAUGAAUUCAACGUUUUAAAAAAAAAAAACGAAUCUUUCAAUAAUUAUUGUAUACUGAAAAAGAAAAUUAUAAAAAACGACACAUAUAUGGACAUUAGUGAAAACGAAAGAGAAGAACAAAAUGCACAACAAAAAAACCACCACGGUCUCGUGGAGGUAGCACAAUUAGCGCAAGUAACACAACCGACACAGCCAACAGAACCAACAAAACCAACAAAACCAACAAAACCAACAGAACCAACAAAACCAACAAAACCAACAAAACCAGCAGAACCAACACAGCCAGCAGAACCAACACAGCCAGCAGAACCAACACAUCCAGCAGAACCAACAGAACCAACAGAACCAACAGAACCAACAGAACCAACAGAACCAGCACCAGUAAGUUGUCGCCUUUUCCAAAAUAUCCCGCUUACGAAUGUGGCCUACUUCUGGUAUGAUAAUAAAAGAAUGACAUACCUAUGGGACAAUCAGAUGACAAUAGAGGAAAUAAAAAGGUGCGUUUAUAACUUUUGUAUUAAUUUGGUAAAGGAAGAGUUUUAUGUAGUAAAACUAGAAAAAAUAAAAGAAUCAGAUUUAUUUAAGGAAUGUGAAAAGAAAAUCGAAAGAGUAACACUAGAAGAUGAAAAUGAUAUUUUAUUUUAUAAAUUAUGUAAAAUAUAUGAAUAUGAUGAUUUAGGUGAGAUAAAUGAUGAUAGUGAAUAUAUAAUAAAAAAAAAAAAUAUUGUUUUAGAAAAAAUAAAACAUCCGUUAAAAUAUAUGGAAGUAUUAAAAUCUAUUGAGUUUACAAAAAUUGGUGGUUAUCUACUAAAAUAUACUGCUUUACAUAUACCACAUUUAAGAUAUUUUUUUAUAAGUAAAAAUCUGAAUUUUAUCAAAUGGUUCUCAUCCAGAAAAACAGAAGAGAAUUGUAAAAUUUAUUUUAAAAAUAUUAAUAGUUUAGAAAUCGAAAAAAUAGACGAUAACAUUUUUCAAAAUUGUAAAAACAAUUUUUUAAAAAAGUUAUCCUUUUGUAUAAUUUAUAAUAAUCAUAAAAAAAAAAUAACACUAACAUGUAAAUGUUAUCAAGAGUUCGUUCACUGGGUUAUAACUAUCAGAGCUUUGAUGUAUAACUCCCGCAACAUGAAAACGUCUAAACAAAAUUUGUUAUCGCAUUUAGUGUUUGAUCAGUGGGAGGAUUU